This 502-nucleotide ribosomal RNA is filed under the name uncultured bacterium. RNAcentral's name for it is "partial 16S ribosomal RNA". It matches the Rfam family "Bacterial small subunit ribosomal RNA", at positions 899 to 1397 of the family's 1533-position model. The record is from RNAcentral.
ACUCAAAGGAAUUGACGGGGACCCGCACAAGCGGUGGAACAUGUGGUUUAAUUCGAGGCAACGCGAAGAACCUUACCAGGCCUUGACAUGCCUCUCGCGGAUUCCAGAGACGGAAUCCUUCAGUUCGGCUGGAGAGUGCACAGGUGCUGCAUGGCUGUCGUCAGCUCGUGUCGUGAGAUGUUGGGUUAAGUCCCGCAACGAGCGCAACCCUCAUCCUCUGUUGCUAACAGGUAAUGCUGAGAACUCUGAGGAAACUGCCGGUGAUAAGCCGGAGGAAGGUGGGGAUGACGUCAAGUCCUCAUGGCCCUUACGGCCUGGGCUACACACGUGUUACAAUGGCAGUGACAAUGCGCCGCUACUCCGCGAGGAGAUGCUAAUCGCAAAAAGCUGCCUCAGUUCGGAUUGUACUCUGCAACUCGAGUACAUGAAGUUGGAAUCGCUAGUAAUCGCGGAUCAGCACGCCGCGGUGAAUACGUUCCCGGGUCUUGUACACACCGCCCGU